This 96-nucleotide transfer RNA is filed under the name Klebsormidium nitens. It matches the Rfam family "tRNA". Rfam says of the family: Transfer RNA (tRNA) molecules are approximately 80 nucleotides in length. Their secondary structure includes four short double-helical elements and three loops (D, anti-codon, and T loops). Further hydrogen bonds mediate the characteristic L-shaped molecular structure. tRNAs have two regions of fundamental functional importance: the anti-codon, which is responsible for specific mRNA codon recognition, and the 3' end, to which the tRNAs corresponding amino acid is attached (by aminoacyl-tRNA synthetases). tRNAs cope with the degeneracy of the genetic code in two manners: having more than one tRNA (with a specific anti-codon) for a particular amino acid; and 'wobble' base-pairing, i.e. permitting non-standard base-pairing at the 3rd anti-codon position. The record is from Rfam by way of RNAcentral. Lineage: Eukaryota; Viridiplantae; Streptophyta; Klebsormidiophyceae; Klebsormidiales; Klebsormidiaceae.
GCGGGUGUAGCGCAGUGGUAGCGUAUUUGCCUUCCAUGACGUCAGCAUGACAUCGCAUGGAGCAAACUGUCACGGGUUCGAUCCCCGUCACCCGCU